GUGGCUAUUCCUGGUUGUCAA
This 21-nucleotide non-coding RNA is filed under the name Mus musculus (house mouse). The record is from RNAcentral. Lineage: Eukaryota; Metazoa; Chordata; Mammalia; Rodentia; Muridae.